CCUACGGGGGGCUGCAGUCGAGAAUAUUCCACAAUGGACGAAAGUCUGAUGGAGCGACGCCGCGUGUGGGAAGAAGGUUUUCGGAUUGUAAACCACUUUUCUUAGGGAGCAAAUUCGUUGAGAGUACCUAAGGAAUAAGAGGUUACUAACUCUGUGCCAGCAGUAGCGGUAAUACAGAGACCUCAAGCGUUAUCCGGAUUUAUUGGGCGUAAAGCGCAGGUAGGCGGUUUAGUUAGUCAGAUGUCAAAGACCGGGGCUCAACCCCGGGAAGGCAU
This 275-nucleotide ribosomal RNA is filed under the name uncultured bacterium. Its description in RNAcentral is "partial 16S ribosomal RNA". It matches the Rfam family "Bacterial small subunit ribosomal RNA", at positions 338 to 626 of the family's 1533-position model. The record is from RNAcentral.